GUGUGUUUUUGCAACUAUGAAAUGAAUGGUUUCCUGGGAAAAAUUGUGACUUUGUAUAACUAUUGUUGAAACCAGAGUAACUUAUAUUUCACUUGCUAUUCUUAAAUUAUUAAAAUUUUCAGAAGUCAGUGAUACAGACAUACUAUUUUGCAAUGCUAAUCUGUUUGAGUCUUUGGAGAAAGUGGUUUCAUUAUAGGUGCAUAAUGCACUCUUAAUAUUUUAAACAAAUAGUUCACUCUUCCAUUUAAGGGAUAGCAGUUCCUUGUAUAAAAUGACUGGAUGUGUAUAAAGGAAUUAUGUUGUCAUGUGCCUUUAACCAGCUUUAGUAAUUACUAUAAUCUCAUAUUUAUGAUAGUUUUGUUAGGUGACAGGACCAAAUGAAAAUAUUUUAUGUUUUCUCAUCACUUUAGAUUUUAUCGUUGUGUAAAUUACUGGGUUUUUAGCAUUUCCUAAUAUGAAGUUUUAAUCAUUUUUAAGUAUACAUAUUUUUUUCUGUAUCAUUUAAAUAAAAUAUUUUUAUAACU
RNAcentral lists this long non-coding RNA (524 nucleotides) under Pongo abelii (Sumatran orangutan). RNAcentral describes it as "lincRNA". The record is from RNAcentral. Lineage: Eukaryota; Metazoa; Chordata; Mammalia; Primates; Hominidae.